Molecule: ribosomal RNA, 560 nt
Filed under: Escherichia coli
Lineage: Bacteria; Pseudomonadati; Pseudomonadota; Gammaproteobacteria; Enterobacterales; Enterobacteriaceae
Description: partial 23S ribosomal RNA
Rfam family: Bacterial large subunit ribosomal RNA
Source: RNAcentral
CGAAUGCUGACAUAAGUAACGAUAAAGCGGGUGAAAAGCCCGCUCGCCGGAAGACCAAGGGUUCCUGUCCAACGUUAAUCGGGGCAGGGUGAGUCGACCCCUAAGGCGAGGCCGAAAGGCGUAGUCGAUGGGAAACAGGUUAAUAUUCCUGUACUUGGUGUUACUGCGAAGGGGGGACGGAGAAGGCUAUGUUGGCCGGGCGACGGUUGUCCCGGUUUAAGCGUGUAGGCUGGUUUUCCAGGCAAAUCCGGAAAAUCAAGGCUGAGGCGUGAUGACGAGGCACUACGGUGCUGAAGCAACAAAUGCCCUGCUUCCAGGAAAAGCCUCUAAGCAUCAGGUAACAUCAAAUCGUACCCCAAACCGACACAGGUGGUCAGGUAGAGAAUACCAAGGCGCUUGAGAGAACUCGGGUGAAGGAACUAGGCAAAAUGGUGCCGUAACUUCGGGAGAAGGCACGCUGAUACGUAGGUGAAGCGACUUGCUCGUGGAGCUGAAAUCAGUCGAAGAUACCAGCUGGCUGCAACUGUUUAUUAAAAACACAGCACUGUGCAAACACGAAA